GACGAACGCUGGCGGCGUGCCUAAUACAUGCAAGUAGAACGCACAGUUUAUACCGUAGCUUGCUACACCAUAGACUGUGAGUUGCGAACGGGUGAGUAACGCGUAGGUAACCUGCCUGGUAGCGGGGGAUAACUAUUGGAAACGAUAGCUAAUACCGCAUAAUAUUGAUUAUUGCAUGAUAAUUAAUUGAAAGGUGCAAUUGCACCACUACCAGAUGGACCUGCGUUGUAUUAGCUAGUAGGUGAGGUAACGGCUCACCUAGGCGACGAUACAUAGCCGACCUGAGAGGGUGAUCGGCCACACUGGGACUGAGACACGGCCCAGACUCCUACGGGAGGCAGCAGUAGGGAAUCUUCGGCAAUGGACGAAAGUCUGACCGAGCAACGCCGCGUGAGUGAAGAAGGGUUUCGGAUCGUAAAGCUCUGUUGUAAGAGAAGAACGGGUGUGAGAGUGGAAAGUUCACACUGUGACGGUAUCUUACCAGAAAGGGACGGCUAACUACGUG
Molecule: ribosomal RNA, 505 nt
Filed under: uncultured bacterium
Lineage: Bacteria
Description: partial 16S ribosomal RNA
Rfam family: Bacterial small subunit ribosomal RNA
Source: RNAcentral